This 457-nucleotide ribosomal RNA is filed under the name uncultured bacterium. RNAcentral's name for it is "bacterial SSU rRNA". It matches the Rfam family "Bacterial small subunit ribosomal RNA", at positions 340 to 789 of the family's 1533-position model. The record is from RNAcentral.
UACGGGAGGCAGCAGUGGGGAAUAUUGCACAAUGGGCGCAAGCCUGAUGCAGCCAUGCCGCGUGUAUGAAAAAGGCCUUCGGGUUGUAAAGUACUUUCAGUCGUGAGGAAGGUGUUAAGGUUAAUAACCUUAGCAAUUGACGUUAGCGACAGAAGAAGCACCGGCUAACUCCGUGCCAGCAGCCGCGGUAAUACGGAGGGUGCGAGCGUUAAUCGGAAUUACUGGGCGUAAAGGGCACGCAGGCGGUUAAUUAAGUUGGAUGUGAAAUCCCCGGGCUUAACCUGGGAAUGGCAUUCAAGACUGGUUAGCUAGAGUCUUGUAGAGGGGGUAGAAUUCCAUGUGUAGCGGUGAAAUGCGUAGAGAUGUGGAGGAAUACCGGUGGCGAAGGCGGCCCCUGGGACAAAGACUGACGCUCAUGUGCGAAAGCGUGGGGAGCAAACAGGGAUUAGAUACCCGU